CCCUUAGAUGUUCUGGGCCGCACGCGUGCUACACUGAGUGGAUCAGCGGGUCAGGUUGCGCGAAAGCGUUUCCUAAUCUUUAAAUCCGCUCGUGAUGGGGAUUGACGGUUGCAAUUUUCUGUCAUGAACGAGGAAUACCUUGUAAGCGCGGGUCAUCAUCCCGCGCUGAAUACGUCCCUGCCCUUUGUACACACCGCCCGUCGCACCUACCGAUUGAAUGGUCCGGUGAGGCCUCGGGAUUGUGGCCAGUUUCCUUUAUUGGGAGUUGGCUGCGAGAACUUGUCCAAACCUUAUCAUUUAGAGGAAGGUGAAGUCGUAACA
RNAcentral lists this ribosomal RNA (321 nucleotides) under uncultured eukaryote. RNAcentral's name for it is "partial 18S ribosomal RNA". It matches the Rfam family "Eukaryotic small subunit ribosomal RNA", at positions 1470 to 1796 of the family's 1831-position model. The record is from RNAcentral.